Molecule: ribosomal RNA, 288 nt
Filed under: Acinetobacter baumannii
Lineage: Bacteria; Pseudomonadati; Pseudomonadota; Gammaproteobacteria; Moraxellales; Moraxellaceae
Description: partial 16S ribosomal RNA
Rfam family: Bacterial small subunit ribosomal RNA
Source: RNAcentral
CGGUAACAGGAAGCAGCUUGCUGCUUAGCUGACGAGUGGCGGACGGGUGAGUAAUGUCUGGGAAACUGCCUGAUGGAGGGGGAUAACUACUGGAAACGGUGGCUAAUACCGCAUAACGUCGCAAGACCAAAGAGGGGGACCUUCGGGCCUCUUGCCAUCAGAUGCGCCCAGAUGGGAUUAGCUUGUUGGUGAGGUAACGGCUCACCAAGGCGACGAUCCCUAGCUGGUCUGAGAGGAUGACCAGCCACACUGGAACUGAGACACGGUCCAGACUCCUACGGGAGGCAG